Molecule: ribosomal RNA, 3399 nt
Filed under: Candidatus Curtissbacteria bacterium RIFOXYB12_FULL_40_6
Lineage: Bacteria; Candidatus Curtissiibacteriota
Description: 23S ribosomal RNA
Rfam family: Bacterial large subunit ribosomal RNA
Source: RNAcentral
GCGUUCAAUGGAUGCCUUGGUGCAACACACCGAAGAAGGACGUGGAGGGCUGCGAUAAGUACCGGUGAGCUGCCGUCAAGCUUUGAUCCGGUAAUUUCCGAAUGGGGAAACCCGCUUGUGCAUGGCACAGGGGUUCUUAAGUCACUUAAGUACCUUAAGUUACUUAGGGGUUCUUGCGCUGUGCAUGAGCAUCCUUUUGCGAAUUAAUAAGCUUAAGGAAGGGUACCGUCUGAACUGAAACAUCUAAGUAAGGCGAGGAAAAGAAAGUAAUUAACGAUUCCCUGAGUAGUGGCGAGCGAAAGGGGAAAAGCCCAAACCAGGUACCAUACGGUACCUGGGGUUGCGGGACUCUAAUAUGAGAUCUCACUUAAGAUAGCAGAACUGUCUGGAAUGGCAGGCCAUAGAGAGUGAAAGACUCGUAUGUGAAAUCUUAAAUGGCUCUAGGAGUAUCCCAAGUUCUACGGGACACGCGAAAUCCUGUAGGAAUCUGGCUCGACCAUGAGCUAAGGCUAAAUAUGUGUUGCGACCGAUAGUGAACUAGUACCGUGAGGGAAAGGUGAAAGAGUACCCCGGAAGGGGAAUGAAAAGUACCUGAAAUUGAACGCUAACAAGCAGCCGGAGCCAGGUACCGUCUGGUACCUGGUGACGACNNNNNNAUUGAAGAAUGAACCGGUGAGUUUUUCCAUUCUGUAGUCUAACCCCGCCUUUUGGCCGUAAGCCAAAGGCGCAAAUUCGAAGCACGAAUAUCGAAAUACUAAACAAAUUCGAAUUUUCAAAUUUUCAAAAUUCGAAAAAGCUGGUUUUGAUCAUUUGAAUUUAGGAUUUUGUAUUUGUUUCGGAUUUAGAAUUUAGAAUUUUGGAAUUCUGACCUUUGCGAGUUUGCGAGCAAAGGGCGGGGGGAGGCAAAGUGAAAGCGAGCGUUAAUAGCGCGUCCCGCCCUUUUUGGGUUUAAGUUAGACGGGGACAAUGUUCAAUUUGAACUUGAAAAGGGCGGGAUUAUACAGCAUGGAAAAGACCCGAAACCGCGUGAGCUAGCCAUGGCCAGGAUGAAGUCCCGCGAAAGCGGUAUGGAGGUCCGAACCCGUGUCAGUUGCAAGUGGCUGGGAUGAGCUGUGGUUAGGGGUGAUAUGCCAAUCGAACGCGGAGAUAGCUGGUUCUCCCCGAAAUAUAUUUAGGUAUAGCCCCCGUCAAAGUUCCUAGGGGUAGAGCACUGAAUAGUCUGUGCGCAGCAAUGUGUGCUGAUUAAUCAAACUUCGAAUACUGGGAAAUAAUCUAGGCGGGGAGUCAGUCCGACCCGGAUAAGCGGGCCAGGGCUAAAGGGAAACAUCCCAGAUCCAAAGCUAAGGUCCCGAAGUGUAUUUUAAGUGUGCAAGGUAGUAUUGACGUUUAGACAGCAAGGAGGUUGGCUUAGAGGCAGCCAUCCUUUAAAGAAAGCGUAACAGCUCACUUGUCUAAGUUCCGGAGAUCGGAAUUCAGAUGUCGGAUCUCGGACGUGAUAGUCUGAUUUCUGAUAUCCGACAUCCGACCUCCGGAACAGGCGGCAGUGCGCCGACAAUGUAACGGGGCUAAAAAUACCACCGAAGCUUGGGGUUCGCAUGCGUAGCAUGCGAUUACGAAUGGAUGCGAAUGCUAGAUUAAUGCGAAUGAAUGCGAAUGUGCUUCGAUUUAAUAUCUCAUUGUUGAUAUUUUAGAUUAUUGAUGCAUUCGAAUAAAUUCGCAUAUAAAAAGUAUUUGCAAAAAUUAGUAGUCGCCUGCUGCGCAGGCGAGCGGUAGGGGAGCGUUCGCAUAUGCGGUGAAGGCCACGGCGUAAGCCGGACUGGAGCGGUGCGAAGUGAGAAUGCCGGUAUGAGUAGCGAAACCCCGGUUGGAAUCCGGGGCGCCGAAUGUCCAAGGUUUCCUACGCAACGUUCGUCGACGUAGGGUUAGUCGGUCCUAAGGCGAGGCCAGAAGGCGUAGUCGAUGGACAAGCCGUUAAUAUUCGGCUACUUUGACAAAAUCGUUUUAAAGCAAAGGGAAGACGAAGAUGGAAGACUUCUGGGUCGAAAUGAUACGGCCCCUAAAAAGCAAGGAAGUGAAAAGUGGAAAAUCCCUUUUUAUGAUUAUUCGAGCUUUGAUAGCAAUCUGGCUCGCGCUGGAGAGAGAAACUGUUUCAACUUCCAAGAAAUUUUCUCGUUGUUAUGUUUUUGUCAAAACCGUACCUAAACCGACACAGGUGGACUGGUAUUAGUGUACCAAGGCGAGCGAGAGAACCUUCCUUAAGGAACUCGGCAAUAUAACUGGACGUACCUUUGGUAGAUGUCCUCCCAGGUACCAAACGGUACCUGGGCGCAGUUAACGAUGCCAAGCGACUGUUUAACAAAAACACAGGUCCCUGCUUAAGUUGAAAAACGAUGUAUAGGGGCUGACGCCUGCCCAGUGCUCGUAGGUUAAAUGCCGUAGGUGAUCCCCGCCCUUUUUGGGCUUUAGAUUUUCGUUUGUUACUAAACUAACGAAAUUUCAUUUUGAGUAAAUUUUUAAGUCUAGAGCUUGAAAAGGACGGGGUGAGCUUGUGGUAUAAGCCCGGGUAAACGGCAGCAGUAACUAUAACUGUUCUAAGGUAGCGAAAUUCCUUGUCGGGUAAGUUCCGACCCGCACAAAAGGCUGAACGACUUGGCAACUGUCUUGAGGAAGGACUCGGCGAAAUUGCAAUGGCUGUGAAGAUGCGGCCAACUUGCACCAGGACAAAAAGACCCCGUGGAGCUUUACUGCAGCUUGACUUUGUUUCAACUAUUGGAACUGUAUAGCGUAGGAGGGAGUCAGGUACCAUUCGGUACCUGACAACAAUGUAACACCUCUCUUUUCGAUGGCUGGAACUUACCGUUUGUCCUAAUAAAAUACGGGAGACGGGACAGUGUCNNNNNNNNNNNNNNNNNNNNNNNNNNNNNNNNNNNNNNNNNNNNNNNNNNNNNNNNNNNNNNNNNNNNNNNNNNNNNNNNNNNNNNNNNNNNNNNNNNNNNNNNNNNNGGCUUAUCUUCCCCAAGAGUCCAUAUCGACGGGAAGGUUUGGCACCUCGAUGUCGGCUCACCGUAUCCUCCUGCUGAAGUAGGCGGGAAGGGUUGGGCUGUUCGCCCAUUAAAACGGUACGCGAGCUGGGUUCAGAACGUCGUGAGACAGUUCGGCCUCUAUCCGGUGCAAGCGUUUGAUAUUUGAGGGGGGUCGCCACUAGUACGAGAGGACCGUGGUGAGCGAACCUCUAGUGUGCCAGUUGUCACAUCAGUGGCAGUGCUGGGUAGCUACGUUCGUAACUGAGAAGCGCUGAAAGCAUCUAAGCGCCAAACAGGCCCCAAGACUAGAUAUCGUUAAGAUCCGUUGUAGACUACGACGUUGAUAGGCGGCAAGUGUAAAGGCAGUAAUGUUUGU